CUGGGAGUCUCUGAGCGCCGGGAUUUCCUUACAGAAUCCGGCACUUUCCGCACGCAGUAGUUACCUAGUACCGCUAGCCCUGCACGUUUCUUUCCCAGAUUUUAAUUUACAAUGUUUGUUUUUGCACUCUUUUUUUUUGUACCCACUAAGUGCAAAAGCACAUGCUAGGUACCAGGAAGGCGGGGCUAGGUACGGUGACGAACGAGAAUGGGCCCCAGCCGUAAAAGGAACUGGUGGGCCAACGGGGAAGGCCGACCUGCACGUGUGGGACGCAAGGAAGUGGCUGUUCCGGUUUCUUUCUGAUGGGCAAGCACUUUGCAAGGACUUGAGCUGUGUUUUCACUGUGUUUGUGGUAAAGUCUCAUCGUCCAAGAGAUUUCCCACUUCCGAUGAAGUCCAUACAUUUAUAUUUAUUGUAAGUCUGCAAAAGAUUCCCAAUUACCCAGCAACUGAACCAAAGAUUUGGUGACUUUUCUGAAAUAAAAGAGAAAAAAAAUGAUUUCUCUUAUUUAAGUAGCAUUUCUCUACUUUCCACUUAAGAAAAUCAUUUCAGAAAGUUGAUGUUUGUGGUAAAAAAAAA
Long non-coding RNA from Phyllostomus discolor (pale spear-nosed bat), 579 nucleotides. RefSeq lists it as uncharacterized. The record is from RefSeq and is a predicted model, not a curated record. The transcript is spliced from 2 exons. Lineage: Eukaryota; Metazoa; Chordata; Mammalia; Chiroptera; Phyllostomidae.